Molecule: non-coding RNA, 159 nt
Filed under: Apaloderma vittatum (bar-tailed trogon)
Lineage: Eukaryota; Metazoa; Chordata; Aves; Trogoniformes; Trogonidae
Description: Eukaryotic large subunit ribosomal RNA
Rfam family: Eukaryotic large subunit ribosomal RNA
Source: Rfam by way of RNAcentral
GAAAACUGGCUUGUGGCAGACAAUUGUUCAUAUAGACAUCACUUUUUGAUCCUUCAAUGUCAGCUCUUCCUGACAUUGUGAAGCAGAAUUCACCAAGUGUUGGAUUGUUCACCCACCAAGAGGAAUGUGAGCUGGGCUUAGACCGUUGUGAGACAGGUU